CAUGCCUAAUACAUGCAAGUCGAACGGACUGCACCAAGAAGAGGAAGUGCUUGCACGGAAACGGAAAGGAUAGCAGUUAGUGGCGAACGGGUGAGUAACACGUAGGUAAUCUACCUUAUAGAACAUGAUAACUAUUGGAAAUGAUAGCUAAUACCGUAUAGUAUAAGAAGAUACAUAUUUUCUUAUUUAAAGGCGCUUUCGCGUCGUCAAUAGGUGGGCCUGCGGUGCAUUAGUUAGUUGGUGAGGUAAAGGCUCACCAAGGCAACGAUGCAUAGCCGGACUGAGAGGUUGAACGGCCACAUUGGGACUGAGACACGGCCCAAACACCUACGGGUGGCAGCAGUAGGGAAUUUUUCGCAAUGGACGAAAGUCUGACGGAGCAAUGCCGCGUGAGUGAUGAAGGUUUUCGGAUCGUAAAGCUCUGUUGUAAGGGAAGAAUAGUUAUGUUAGGAAAUGAACAUGAUAUGACGGUACCUUACCAGAAAGGGACGGCUAACUACGUGCCAGCCGCCGCGGUAA
This 519-nucleotide ribosomal RNA is filed under the name uncultured bacterium. Its description in RNAcentral is "partial 16S ribosomal RNA". It matches the Rfam family "Bacterial small subunit ribosomal RNA", at positions 43 to 523 of the family's 1533-position model. The record is from RNAcentral.